This 440-nucleotide ribosomal RNA is filed under the name uncultured bacterium. RNAcentral's name for it is "partial 16S ribosomal RNA". It matches the Rfam family "Bacterial small subunit ribosomal RNA", at positions 338 to 795 of the family's 1533-position model. The record is from RNAcentral.
CCUACGGGUGGCAGCAGUGGGGGAUAUUGCACAAUGGGGGAAACCCUGAUGCAGCGACGCCGCGUGUGGGAAGACGGUCCUCUGGAUUGUAAACCACUGUCCCCAGGGACGAAGAUGACGGUACCUGGGGAGGAAGCUCCGGCUAACUACGUGCCAGCAGCCGCGGUAAUACGUAGGGAGCGAGCGUUGUCCGGAAUUACUGGGUGUAAAGGGAGCGGAGGCGGGACUGCAAGUUGGGUGUCAAAUCUACGGGCUCAACCGGUAGCCGCACUCAAAACUGCAGUUCUUGAGUGAAGUAGAGGCAGGCGGAAUUCCUGGUGUAGCGGUGAAAUGCGUAGAUAUUAGGAGGAACACCAGUGGCGAAGGCGGCCUGCUGGGCUUUUACUGACGCUGAGGCUCGAAAGUGUGGGGAGCAAACAGGAUUAGAUACCCGAGUAGUC